RNAcentral lists this ribosomal RNA (768 nucleotides) under Triticum aestivum (bread wheat). RNAcentral's name for it is "partial small subunit ribosomal RNA". The record is from RNAcentral. Lineage: Eukaryota; Viridiplantae; Streptophyta; Magnoliopsida; Poales; Poaceae.
AUGGGAGACAUGAAUGACAUCUUGUACGAUAUGGACAAAAGUACUCCCUUUGUUAAUACUACUCAAAUGUAUGCUUUUCGGAAUCUAGUCAAGUCAUGUGGUUUGAUAGAUCUUGGAUAUAGUGGUCCUGCUUAUACCUGGACUAAUAAACGGUUUUCCACAAAUCCUACUUAUGAAAGGCUUGAUAGAUGUUUGGUUAACACCGAGUGGUGUGCUAUCUAUCCGAAUACAAAUGUCUAUAAUCUGCCUAUUACCUUAAGUGAUCAUGGACAUAUCCUUAUCUCUACUGAUGGCAAGUUUCGAAAACCUUUGCAAAGCUUCAAAUUUGAAAAUUGGUGGCUUAUGGAAAAGGAUUUUGACUCGUAUGUAAAGGCGGUUUGGAUCACUUCGGCUCAUAAACCUUUCUAUGCUAGAACUAACCAUCUUGCAGGUUCUCUCAAAAGAUGGUGCAAAAAGAAAAGGCCAAUCAACCAGGAGCUCAACUACCUUGAGGAACAAAUAAAAAAUGUUCAGAUGAAGCCAAUACAGGAACAAGACCACAAGUUGGAGGCCUCUUUAAUAAAUAGGUAUGAAGAGAACAUGACAAAACUCACUGAAUAUUAUAGUCAAAGGGCGAAAAAGCAUUGGGCAACAAAAGGGGAUAGAAAUACUUCUUACUUUCAUCAGGCUGUACUUAAAAGAAGAAGGAAGAACCAAAUUGUUUCCGUCAAAGAUAAUAGCAAUAUAACUCAUUUUAAACCUGAAAAUAUUGCUCAUACCUUUGUUUAG